RNAcentral lists this ribosomal RNA (296 nucleotides) under Salmonella enterica subsp. enterica serovar Havana. RNAcentral's name for it is "partial 16S ribosomal RNA". It matches the Rfam family "Bacterial small subunit ribosomal RNA", at positions 22 to 316 of the family's 1533-position model. Lineage: Bacteria; Pseudomonadati; Pseudomonadota; Gammaproteobacteria; Enterobacterales; Enterobacteriaceae. The record is from RNAcentral.
GCUCAGAGUGAACGCUGGCGGCGUGCCUAAUACAUGCAAGUCGAACGAUGAAGCUUCUAGCUUGCUAGAAGUGGAUUAGUGGCGCACGGGUGAGUAAGGUAUAGUUAAUCUGCCCUACACAAGAGGACAACAGUUGGAAACGACUGCUAAUACUCUAUACUCCUGCUUAACACAAGUUGAGUAGGGAAAGUUUUUCGGUGUAGGAUGAGACUAUAUAGUAUCAGCUAGUUGGUAAGGUAAUGGCUUACCAAGGCUAUGACGCUUAACUGGUCUGAGAGGAUGAUCAGUCACACUGG